GAUGAACGCUAGCGACAGGCUUAACACAUGCAAGUCGAGGGGCAGCGGGGAGGUAGCAAUACUUCCGCCGGCGACCGGCGCACGGGUGAGUAACACGUAUGGAACCUGCCCGUAGCAGGGGGAUAAGCGGAAGAAAUUCCGUCUAAUACCGCGUAACAACCCUUGGAGGCAUCUCCCCGGGGUUUAAAGGAAGCGAUUCCGGCUACGGAUGGUCAUGCGUCGCAUUAGCUAGUUGGCGGGGUAACGGCCCACCAAGGCGACGAUGCGUAGGGGUUCUGAGAGGAAGGUCCCCCACACUGGUACUGAGACACGGACCAG
RNAcentral lists this ribosomal RNA (318 nucleotides) under uncultured bacterium. Its description in RNAcentral is "bacterial SSU rRNA". It matches the Rfam family "Bacterial small subunit ribosomal RNA", at positions 28 to 334 of the family's 1533-position model. The record is from RNAcentral.